AUUGAACGCUGGCGGCAGGCCUAACACAUGCAAGUCGAACGGCAGCAGGGUGCUUGCUUCUGCAUUCAGCGGCGGACGGGCGGAUGAUUGCUGGGAAUCUCGGUGGCUGCGGGGUCUUAGGUCCGAACGCAGGGGCACUUACGGCAUUAGCGCAGACGACGUACGUGGGGAAGCAUCGGAUCUUAGGACCUUGGGUGAUUCAAGGUGGCGAUGUCGGAUUAGCUAGUUGGCGGGGUAAAGGCCCACCAAGGCGACGAUCCGUAGCUGGUCUGAGAGGAUGAUCAGCCACACUGGAACUGAGACACGGUCCAGACUCCUACGGGAGGCAGCAGUGGGGAAUAUUGGACAAUGGGCGAAAGCCUGAUCCAGCCAUGCCGCGUGGGUGAAGAAGGUCUUCGGAUUGUAAAGCACUUUAAGUUGGGAGGAAGAGCAGUAAGUUAAUACCUUGCUGUUUUGACGUUACCAACAGAAUAAGCACCGGCUAACUUCGUG
This 492-nucleotide ribosomal RNA is filed under the name uncultured bacterium. RNAcentral describes it as "partial 16S ribosomal RNA". It matches the Rfam family "Bacterial small subunit ribosomal RNA", at positions 30 to 507 of the family's 1533-position model. The record is from RNAcentral.